Molecule: long non-coding RNA, 141 nt
Organism: Budorcas taxicolor (takin)
Lineage: Eukaryota; Metazoa; Chordata; Mammalia; Artiodactyla; Bovidae
Exons: 3
Source: RefSeq, a predicted model, not a curated record
AGACGCGCAGAAAGUUCCCCUUCUCAGGAAGGCCUUCCCCAUCUGCCCCAUUUAAGGCUUCUCAAGUCUGAUGAAGAAGCUGACAGCACGAAGGAGCCUCAGAAUGAAUUGUUUGAAGCCCAAGGGAGCAGAUGACCAGGG